AGGCAAAGGAGCAGGAGGGGGAUGUGUGCUGGAGCUGGGAAGUACUUGGAUGAAAGAAAGAGCCUUUCUCCAUGAGUGCGUGCCAGCCUUUGGGAGAGAAACUUGAUGACCGAGGAUUGCAGCAACAAAGGCAAUUAGACGUCUGCUGCAUAUGCAUUAAAUAGUCUAUAUAAUCCUAGAAUGAAGACGUUACUAAGAACAGCCCAUGAGGAUGCUGAGCUAGAGGAAGCAUGACAAUAGAUAAUUUCAAAUCCAGCCAAGCUUGAAAGAGCUUUUCUUAUUUCACAAAACCAUUGAAUGUGCAGUACUUACAGCAUUAAUUCUUGGCCCCUUGGUAUGUGCUAACUACAGCCUAACUCCUGAGGGCAUCUUCAGAGCAGCUGUCAGAAAGCCAUGGAACUUUGUGUCACCCAGACCAGAAUACACAGUGCUGCUCACGAACCCCUCUGUCACAGCAGACCCAGUAACUUAUCUGUCACUAAAAGUGGGAUGUGCAGAGUUUGCCUGGGUGAGAGCUGAAAACCUGAUGGGGUUUGAGAGUAAAUGUUUCAGUGCCUCUUCUAAAUACUUGAGGAAUGCUCCUAACAUCCUGAUGCGAUGAGUGCAAAAGGCAGACAGAAUGGCCCGCAAUGGAUGCUGAACUGCAGGAAGUCGGGAUGCAGAAGGGAGGAUUAUUUUGGCACACCUGGGUUCUGCAGCUCUUAGCAGUGUAUUUAACAACCACACUUGUGGAGCUACACAUGGUCCUCAUGCUCCUAAUCAGAAGUUACACUGGUUUUGCUGACGAAGUGCCCUUCUGCCCAUUCUCCAGAGCCUGGCUAGAAAGGCUUUCCAUCAAUGCUCGGGCUGUGGCUGCUGGAUUUGGCCCCAUGGGUUUCAUGGCUCUCCCAAGGAUCCCUGAGCCCCUGCAGCAGAUGUUGAUGAGAGUUUAGUGGCUGAGAGUUUGAAUUUUUGCUCUCCAUUUCAUUGCACUGGUGUUGUUUCAAAAGUUCUGAUGACUUCUCUGGGAAUACUUCAGGAGCAUCUCAGCAGGUCCUCUGCCAAACUCCAAAUGACAAAGACUUGUCCCUUUCUGCUCUCCAGGGAGCAUCCAGCUCAAGGCCAGAGCCACCUCUUUUGCUUCACUGUUGGUCACCAUCCUCUCCCACAGCUCUUUUGCUCCAUACACAACUUUGUAUUGCCAAACCUUUUUGCAGAGCUGGUGACAGAUGGGGGGAUAGCCAAGCAAGAAGUUGUGCAAGCCCAAAACAGCCACAGGAAACUUUCUUUGACUAAAAAUCUUGUAUCUAGACACAAGGACCCAAGACCAUAGGUAGAUAGGGACUGAAAGUAAGGGACAGGGUAGAGGUGAAUUGACCAGCAGCACAACACUGGAAGCCUCAUCAGCAAUCUGCUUCUCCAUGGUUUACUUCAGUGCAUCCUCCAAACCAGCUGUAUAUCCUCAGCAGCACUAAAUGAUGCUGUGUAGCACUUGGCACAACUCUCAUUUCAACCUGCCUACCCCAGAAAGCAUUUUCUCCUUCUCUGGCACCUUCUCCUGCACGCUUUUUCUAUGUGUUGAGGUUU
Molecule: long non-coding RNA, 1566 nt
Organism: Phasianus colchicus (ring-necked pheasant)
Lineage: Eukaryota; Metazoa; Chordata; Aves; Galliformes; Phasianidae
Source: RefSeq, a predicted model, not a curated record